This 299-nucleotide unclassified non-coding RNA is filed under the name plant metagenome. RNAcentral describes it as "partial contains 5.8S ribosomal RNA, internal transcribed spacer 2, and large subunit ribosomal RNA". The stretch from base 1 to 105 matches the Rfam family "5.8S ribosomal RNA", at positions 50 to 154 of the family's 154-position model. The record is from RNAcentral.
GAAAUGCGAUAAGUAAUGUGAAUUGCAGAAUUCAGUGCAUCAUCGAAUCUUUGAACGCACAUUGCGCCCCCUGGUAUUCCGGGGGGCAUGCCUGUUCGAGCGUCAUUUCACCACUCAAGCCUCGCUUGGUAUUGGGCGACGCGGUCCGCCGCGCGCCUCAAAUCGACCGGCUGGGUCUUUCGUCCCCUCAGCGUUGUGGAAACUAUUCGCUAAAGGGUGCCGCGGGAGGCCACGCCGUAAAACAACCCCAUUUCUAAGGUUGACCUCGGAUCAGGUAGGGAUACCCGCUGAACUUAAGC